AUAAUAAUUAGUCUUUUAAUUAGAGACUGGAAUGAAAGAUUGAAUGAAAUAUAAACUGUCUUAAAAUUAUUAAAGAUUUAAUUUAAUUUUUAAGUUAAAAAGCUUAAAUAACUUUAAAGGACGAGAAGACCCUAUAGAGUUUUAUAGUUUUUUUAUUAAAAUAGGUUUAAAUUUUCAUAUUUUAUAAGAGGAUUAUUUUGUUGGGGCGACAGGAAAAUUAGAUUAACUUUUUUAUUAUAUAAACACUUAUUUGUGAGUUUUUGAUCCUUAGUUAAAGAUUAUUAGAUUAAAUUACCUUAGGGAUAACAGCGUUAUUUUUUUUAGAGUUCUUAUCGAUAUAAAAGAUUGC
This 349-nucleotide ribosomal RNA is filed under the name Waldheimia amazonica. RNAcentral describes it as "partial large subunit ribosomal RNA". Lineage: Eukaryota; Metazoa; Arthropoda; Insecta; Hymenoptera; Tenthredinidae. The record is from RNAcentral.